AUAGCGGACCUCGGUGUCGAGUCCGCUCUUCCCACCCGGUACCUGAUACGGCCGGUGUGG
Non-coding RNA from Hyalangium minutum, 60 nucleotides. The record is from Rfam. Lineage: Bacteria; Pseudomonadati; Myxococcota; Myxococcia; Myxococcales; Archangiaceae.